Molecule: ribosomal RNA, 468 nt
Filed under: uncultured bacterium
Lineage: Bacteria
Description: partial 16S ribosomal RNA
Rfam family: Bacterial small subunit ribosomal RNA
Source: RNAcentral
GACGAACGCUGGCGGCGUGCUUAACACAUGCAAGUCGAACGGAAAGGCCCUGCUUUUGUGGGGUGCUCGAGUGGCGAACGGGUGAGUAACACGUGAGUAACCUGCCCUUGACUUUGGGAUAACUUCAGGAAACUGGGGCUAAUACCGGAUAGGAGCUCCUGCUGCAUGGUGGGGGUUGGAAAGUUUCGGCGGUUGGGGAUGGACUCGCGGCUUAUCAGCUUGUUGGUGGGGUAGUGGCUUACCAAGGCUUUGACGGGUAGCCGGCCUGAGAGGGUGACCGGCCACAUAGGGACUGAGGUACGGCCCAGACUCCUACGGGAGGCAGCAGUGGGGAAUAUUGCACAAUGGGCGGAAGCCUGAUGCAGCAACGCCGCGUGCGGGAUGACGGCCUUCGGGUUGUAAACCGCUUUCGCCUGUAACGAAGCGUGAGUGACGGUAAUGGGUAAAGAAGCACCGGCUAACUACGUG